This 482-nucleotide ribosomal RNA is filed under the name uncultured bacterium. Its description in RNAcentral is "bacterial SSU rRNA". It matches the Rfam family "Bacterial small subunit ribosomal RNA", at positions 30 to 506 of the family's 1533-position model. The record is from RNAcentral.
UUGAACGCUGGCGGAAUGCUUUACACAUGCAAGUCGAACGGCAGCACGGGGGCAACCUUGGUGGCGAGUGGCGAACGGGUGAGUAAUACCUAGGAACAUGUCCAGUAAUGGGGGAUAACGCAGCGAAAGCUGUGCUAAUACCGCAUACGACCUGAGGGUGAAAGCGGGGGAUCGCAAGACCUCGCGCGAUAGGAGCGGCCGAUAUCGGAUUAGCUUGUUGGUGAGGUAAAGGCUCACCAAGGCGACGAUCCGUAGCUGGUCUGAGAGGACGACCAGCCACACUGGAACUGAGACACGGUCCAGACUCCUACGGGAGGCAGCAGUGGGGAAUUUUGGACAAUGGGGGCAACCCUGAUCCAGCCAUUCCGCGUGAGUGAAGAAGGCCUUCGGGUUGUAAAGCUCUUUCAGCAGGAACGAAACGGUGGCUACUAAUACUAGCUACUAAUGACGGUACCUGAAGAAGAAGCACCGGCUAACUACGU